GACGAACGCUGGCGGCGUGCUUAACACAUGCAAGUCGAACGGAAAGGCCCUGCUUUUGUGGGGUGCUCGAGUGGCGAACGGGUGAGUAACACGUGAGUAACCUGCCCUUGACUUUGGGAUAACUUCAGGAAACUGGGGCUAAUACCGGAUAGGAGCUCCUGCUGCAUGGUGGGGGUUGGAAAGUUUCGGCGGUUGCGGAUGGACUCGCGGCUUAUCAGCUUGUUGGUGGGGUAGUGGCUUACCAAGGCUUUGACGGGUAGCCGGCCUGAGAGGGUGACCGGCCACAUUGGGACUGAGAUACGGCCCAGACUCCUACGGGAGGCAGCAGUGGGGAAUAUUGCACAAUGGGCGGAAGCCUGAUGCAGCAACGCCGCGUGCGGGAUGACGGCCUUCGGGUUGUAAACCGCCUUCGCCUGUGACGAAGCGUGAGUGACGGUAAUGGGUAAAGAAGCACCGGCUAACUACGUG
This 468-nucleotide ribosomal RNA is filed under the name uncultured bacterium. RNAcentral describes it as "partial 16S ribosomal RNA". It matches the Rfam family "Bacterial small subunit ribosomal RNA", at positions 28 to 507 of the family's 1533-position model. The record is from RNAcentral.